Molecule: ribosomal RNA, 516 nt
Filed under: uncultured bacterium
Lineage: Bacteria
Description: bacterial SSU rRNA
Rfam family: Bacterial small subunit ribosomal RNA
Source: RNAcentral
GUUUGAUCUGGCUCAGGAUGAACGCUAGCUACAGGCUAACACAUGCAAGUCGAGGGGCAGCAUGAAGUCAGCUUGCUGACUUGAUGGCGACCGGCGCACGGGUGAGUAACGCGUAUCCAACCUUCCCCUUAGUAGGGCAUAGCCCGUAGAAAUGCGGAUUAAUACCCUAUGUUCUUCGUCGAGGACAUCUGAAGUGAAGCAAAGAUUUAUCGCUAAGGGAUGGGGAUGCGUCUGAUUAGGCCGCAGGCGGGGUAACGGCCCACCUGGCCGACGAUCAGUAGGGGUUCUGAGAGGAAGGUCCCCCCACAUUGGAACUGAGACACGGUCCAAACUCCUACGGGAGGCAGCAGUGAGGAAUAUUGGUCAAUGGUCGAGAGACUGAACCAGCCAAGUAGCGUGCAGGAUGACGGCCCUAUGGGUUGUAAACUGCUUUUAUGCGGGGAUAAAGUGGGGGACGUGUCCCUUUUUGUAGGUACCGCAUGAAUAAGGACCGGCUAAUUCCGUGCCAGCAGCUGC